GCCGUUAAAUCGGCGAAUUGGGCCACCACUAGACUCAAGAUCCACAUGACCAAAUAGGGGAGAGCCGACAGCAACGCGUUCUGCAUAUUUCCUCGGCAAAUUUUAGACAAACAGACAACAAAAGAAAGUUUGGGGGCGAUGAAACUCACACGCUUUUCAUGUCAAAGUGGAGAAUGGUCUUCAUGUAAAUGGGCAGUUGGGUAAUCAACAUAUAAAAUGCCCAGUUGUUUCCAAGAGUGGACACCAACAGGGCCCAGCAGGGGACCGAAGUUGCAAUGGACUUCCAGGGCACUGCCAAUGCCUGGCAAUAAAAACAGCUCACAGCAUGUAAAAAAAUUCUUGGGUGCAGUUCAGGUGAAUCGUAAACCACAUGGAGCCAGGCAGCAACCACGACCACAGCCAGGGACCCUUGGAUGUAAAACACAGCCUCCCAUCCCAGGGAAUCUGCAAUGAGCCCGCUGCAAGUGAUGCCGAGAACUGUCCCCACCUGAGCCCCUGAAAAUAUAAAAGUGGUGAUGCUGCUCCUCUCCCCCGUUGGGGCCCAUUUCGCUACCAAUGGUUGAAUGGAUGGGACAAUCACCCCCUAUUUGAUUUUAAGUGUCACCUGUGCCAAUCCGAGCAGAAUUCUCCCAGCUAUGAAAAAUUCAGUUCCAGCCCUGGCCAAAAUGGGGAGGCAAACCGUGACCAGGCCAGCUGUCAUUUGCGCACCGGCGAACAUGUAUUUGGUACCGAAUUUCUCGGCUAUCCUCCCUCCGAUCAGCUGGGUGACGAUGUAGCCCCAAAAGAAGGAAACAGACACGAGCGAUUGAAUCUUCUCGUCCCACACAAACUCUCCAUCAUCCUGCUGGUCAGCGUGAGGAUAAGCGGCUUGUUCCUCUUCUGGUUGGCCGCAUUCCUGAGCCGUCGUGACGUUGGUGUGCGGAAUGGCCGUAUAAUUGACCAUGGCCACGAUGACAAUGUUGACAUUCAAGCGGACCAUGUACACGUAAAAGAAAUUGAGAAAAGCCACAACGGCCACCGCGUAACGGGCUGGAAUACCUUCCAACAUUUUCUCUCUAAAAAUCUUUUUGAAUUCACAGGGUCAUCUCAACUGUUGUGGCCACUGGUUUUUGGUCAGCCAAGUAGAGAAAACACACACACACCCCCUCAAAAAUAAGAUUGUUACCCGAGAUUGUUCCAUCUAGGGAAAGAGGGUCGUUUUCCGGUUGAAAUUGGAGACCAGCCCAUUGAUCGUUCCAAAGAUUUCAGCAGCUGGUGUUUACUACUGGACGGAGCCUCGCCGACGUGACCAACCGUUUCCUCUUCUCCCACCGUUGCCCUGUCCCAGUCUUGCCGCUCGGUGGAGCCCAGCACGAUGAAAAUGAUGGCGUUGGCGGUCAAGAUGCCGGCGCAUAGCAGAAAAGCGAUUCGCCAACGAGCCAAAGUUUGCUGGAAAAAUAAAAAAAGGAGAAAAUUGAUGUGGCGGAACUCGUCGAAA
Daphnia pulicaria is the source of this 1477-nucleotide long non-coding RNA. RefSeq lists it as uncharacterized. NCBI's taxonomy places the organism in Eukaryota, Metazoa, Arthropoda, Branchiopoda, Diplostraca, Daphniidae. The record is from RefSeq and is a predicted model, not a curated record. The transcript is spliced from 4 exons.